GGCGAGCUUCCUGCACACAGGACCAUGCUAACAUAAAUGCUGAAGCAAUGGCUAAUAUUCAGUACAGCUGAGAUAUUUCCUGGCAGCUGCUGAAGAAACAUGGAAAAUGGACCAAUAAGAACAGGCUGAAGAAGGCUGAAGUCAGCAACGAGGAUGAUAAUUUAUCAGAAUAUUUGGUACGUGACAACUGUUAUAAAAGAGUGGAAGAAUCAGAGCAAGAUUAAAGUGCUCAUCCUCAGAGGACUGGAUGGUAUUUUCCUCACCAGCUAAAGCCUCCUCAUUCACCUCCUCAUCUCUG
RNAcentral lists this long non-coding RNA (298 nucleotides) under Homo sapiens (human). RNAcentral's name for it is "HSALNT0101024". Lineage: Eukaryota; Metazoa; Chordata; Mammalia; Primates; Hominidae. The record is from RNAcentral.